RNAcentral lists this long non-coding RNA (753 nucleotides) under Bos taurus (domestic cattle). RNAcentral's name for it is "long non-coding RNA NONBTAT000523". The record is from RNAcentral. Lineage: Eukaryota; Metazoa; Chordata; Mammalia; Artiodactyla; Bovidae.
AAGUCCAGCGUGGCUGCACCCAACACAUCCUAGAUAAAUAUGGCGAACCUACUUAAACCAAAUGUAACACCGGAUUUAAACAUUUAUAGGUAUUUUUUGUUUGUUUUAAUUGGCCAAAACAAAAGGCUUCUUCCUAAGGGGACACUUAAGAAGUCUGAAAAGGGAGGAAUUAUACAUUAAUAGUCUGAAUAAUUUUUCAAAAAAAAGCACUAUGUCUGGGAAAGUGGGCAUAGAGGGAGAUGGUGCAUUGCAGAACAAGGGAUACUCAUUGCCUCUGUGCCUAUGUGUAUUACUCUAGUUUAUCCUCAGAAUAUUUAAAGAGCCUCAAGUCAGUUUCCUAUAGCUAGACCACCUCCUAUACACCCAAAUCCACAAGGAUGAAUGCUUCAUGCAACGAGGCUGUCCGCAGAGGACCAGUAGUGAAGGUUUUAUCCUGCCUGGCUGUCUAUGACCUGCAGGUCAGUGACGGUUCCAACAGGUGUAUUCCACUCAUCAGAGAUUCAGGAUGUGAGUAACUGCGUACCAUCCUGCAUCAGUAUAAACUGGAUUUAUGUGUUACUCAGGUCUAUUUAAUCUUAGGAGCACAUUUUCCAUUGGCCUUGAAAGUGAGUAGCUGGAAUAUUGAUGUGUCUUAACCCUUAGAGGAAAAAAAAUAAGAAUUCUUCCACUGCACUAAAUCUAGAAAGAUAUGAGGGUUUGCAGUAUGGACACAUACAAAAUAUUUUUGAACAAAGUUGGUGGAGGAAAGCACAU